UACGUAGGGUCCGAGCGUUGUCCGGAAUUAUUGGGCGUAAAGGGCUCGUAGGCGGUCUGUCGCGUCGGGAGUGAAAACUCAGGGCUCAACCCUGAGCGUGCUUCCGAUACGGGCAGACUAGAGGUAUGCAGGGGAGAACGGAAUUCCUGGUGUAGCGGUGGAAUGCGCAGAUAUCAGGAGGAACACCGGUGGCGAAGGCGGUUCUCUGGGCAUGACCUGACGCUGAGGAGCGAAAGCGUGGGGAGCGAACAGG
RNAcentral lists this ribosomal RNA (253 nucleotides) under uncultured bacterium. Its description in RNAcentral is "partial 16S ribosomal RNA". It matches the Rfam family "Bacterial small subunit ribosomal RNA", at positions 524 to 776 of the family's 1533-position model. The record is from RNAcentral.